Non-coding RNA from Labrus bergylta (ballan wrasse), 421 nucleotides. Lineage: Eukaryota; Metazoa; Chordata; Actinopteri; Labriformes; Labridae. The record is from RefSeq and is a predicted model, not a curated record.
UGACUUGGUGUACCUUGGCAAAACUGCCUCAGUUCAGAGGUAGUGCUGAUAAAGUUAUCGGAGAAGCUCUGAUGCUGUGAUUUUUUUUUUGGUUUACCCGAGUUAAAUACUUUUCACAUAUUUUACAGCUUUAGCAGCGACUCCGGAAGCGACAGCUGCUGUUUCUACACGACGCAUUUUUUUUUUUUUAAAAGAGGAGCUUGAAAUAAUCUACACAGUCCACUGUCGAGUUGGCAAAGAUGUUCCAGAUAAAGAGGAUCUGCUGCAUCGGAGCUGGGUAUGUCGGAGGCCCAACGUGUAGUGUGAUCGCCCACAUGUGUCCAGAGAUCACCGUGACCGUUGUGGAUGUCAACGAGUCGCGCAUCAAAGCCUGGAACUCCGACACCCUGCCCAUAUACGAGCCGGGACUGAAAGAGGUGGA